GACGAACGCUGGCGGCGUGCUUAACACAUGCAAGUCGAACGGAAAGGCCCUGCUUUUGUGGGGUGCUCGAGUGGCGAACGGGUGAGUAACACGUGAGUAACCUGCCCUUGACUUUGGGAUAACUUCAGGAAACUGGGGCUAAUACCGGAUAGGAGCUCCUGCUGCAUGGUGGGGGUUGGAAAGUUUCGGCGGUUGGGGAUGGACUCGCGGCUUAUCAGCUUGUUGGUGGGGUAGUGGCUUACCAAGGCUUUGACGGGUAGCCGGCCUGAGAGGGUGACCGGCCACAUUGGGACUGAGAUACGGCCCAGACUCCUACGGGAGGCAGCAGUGGGGAAUAUUGCACAAUGGGCGGAAGCCUGAUGCAGCGACGCCGCGUGCGGGAUGACGGCCUUCGGGUUGUAAACCGCUUUCGCCUGUGACGAAGCGUGAGUGACGGUAAUGGGUAAAGAAGCACUGGCUAACUACGUG
This 468-nucleotide ribosomal RNA is filed under the name uncultured bacterium. RNAcentral's name for it is "partial 16S ribosomal RNA". It matches the Rfam family "Bacterial small subunit ribosomal RNA", at positions 28 to 507 of the family's 1533-position model. The record is from RNAcentral.